Long non-coding RNA from Setaria italica (foxtail millet), 1977 nucleotides. RefSeq lists it as uncharacterized. The record is from RefSeq and is a predicted model, not a curated record. Lineage: Eukaryota; Viridiplantae; Streptophyta; Magnoliopsida; Poales; Poaceae. The transcript has 2 exons.
GCGAAUUAGACUCCAUCCAUGCAAUUAGUUUUGUAAUUACCUCAUGUUUAAUCCUUCUAAUUAGCAUCCGAACAUCCGAUGUGACUCUGCUAAAGUUUAGCGCCUCAUAUCCAAACACCCCCUCAGUAAAUUGUUUCCUUUCAGAAAUAGCAGAUUUUGGGAAAAAAAACAUUGAGUGUUGUUCCUUCUGGAAAUCAAGUGCAUACAGAUCAAGGAAUUGUUCUUCAUUGCUGCCAUUCAGCGUGUGCUGAAGACUUUCUUGUGUAAGCAGUGUUCUGAACUUUGUGUCUUUGUUGGCAGUCUACGAAAUAUUUUCUUGGUUACACAUAAAUAGUUAAUUUGCUGCACAUUAAUAUUUUUUUAUUUUUGUUGAGUAAUAUUCUCACAUUUCAGAUUGUGUGUUAUUUUGCAGCUAAUUGUAGGUUGCAGGUUGUUUUACUAAUUUCAAUAAUUUGCAACCUGUUGCCUUGGAGCAACUCUGAAUCUGAAGUAAACAAACUAAACCUAUGUUGCUAGGUUUCUUUUUUCUAUAAGAAUGUGUAUUGUAAAUUUUUAAGAAACCAAUAUUUUACCAAAGUAUUUUGUCUUCUGCCGAAAGUUUGAGAAGCUGCACAAUUUUCAUUCGAAAACAAACAACGUUUAUAUAUAAUUUUUUUGGUUUUCUCAUGGGAUGAUGAUUUUAACACUACAAAAGGUAUGAUUUCUGUACUUGCCAAUUCUAUGCUACUAAUCAUUCUCCUCUGUCUUAUUUCAUUCAUUCCGUAUGUUUGCGUAUUACUCAAGAGAGUUUGUGCAAUUCUUGGUGAUUUAACAUUUUCACAUUAUAGCUUCAUUUAGUUACCUUUGUAUUCAAUAUCAAGUUAUCUAAACUUCAAACAUCAUGAGGUUUUUUAUUUUAAUAUAUCUCUUUUGGGUGCUCUAAAUCUUCCUACGAAAUGAGAAACUCUAAGGAAAUCACGAAAUUCCAGUAGUUGGUGGAUGGCUGGACGCCAUCAAGUAGCGGAACACCACCCUCUCAUGCGGCUCUUCACUGUCAUAUAGAUCGCAAUCUGCAGUGGUGGCGUGCGUGGAAGCGACAACAUCAAUAUAGAUGCUAAGCGGCCAUACAUGAAACAAGGGAAUAAUAAGCUGAGAACAUGUAAAGACCCAUAGCAACGCACGGGCAUUUCAACUAUUUGAAUAAUAAAUUUGGAAGAAAGCAGCUACAUAGGCUACAACCAUGUUCCUCUGUAGACUACACGUCAUUGAGGUUCGUUCAGUUUUAAGUUUCCGUUUCAAAUAAGAGGUUUUUUCAGUUUUCAGUAAUGAUUUUUGUCCAGUGUUUAGUUACAGAAGGUAUCAUCUAUGGCAUACUAUAUGCUAGCUUUUUUUCCUUAGUUAGCACUUUUUAUUUGUUAACACCUGAGAUAAGAAUAUUUUUUCUAAUCCUGUAGAGAUGAUACCUGAAGCAAACUAUAGGUUUAUUAGUCAAUCUUACCUUCUAAAUUGUCUAGUCACUUACUGAGGGUGACUUUUUCAGUGAUCAUGUUGCCUAUUCAAUUUGUUGCUGUCCCUCUGAUAUAUUUUCCCCUGCAAAUUUUUAGCUCUAUUGGCUUCAUAUUUCAUAUACUUUGCUUAUAUAUUUGUUUUGUGCAGAGACUCAAGUCAUGUGGAAAAAAGGAGUACUUAUCUUUAAUGCCCUUACAUUUUUGCUAACAGGAAAGCGUGGACAACCAAAAUAUUUAGAGAAAACUUUAUGCCUAUAUGCUGGUGAUGGACUACUAGAAGAAUGAAGAAUUACAGAAAGGUUUAUUGGUGACUGCCAGUGCCGUUAGGAAUGAAUAGAUCAAUAAGAGAACUCAUAUUUAGUUUUAUUUUAUUAUGCCAAACAUAGUUGCACUUGUAGUCAGAGAUGAUGUUUUUAUUGUCAUUGUGUUAUUACUUUGGUUGAGACAUAUAUUAGAAGUUAAUGAAGGUUUGAGUUCUUAUAUGUGAUGA